RNAcentral lists this ribosomal RNA (33 nucleotides) under Lactifluus acicularis. Its description in RNAcentral is "partial 28S ribosomal RNA". Lineage: Eukaryota; Fungi; Basidiomycota; Agaricomycetes; Russulales; Russulaceae. The record is from RNAcentral.
UUGACCUCAAAUCGGGGGAGACUACCCGCUGAA